UACGAAGGGUGCAAGCGUUACUCGGAAUUACUGGGCGUAAAGGGCGCGUAGGUGGUUUUUUAAGUCCGUUGUGAAAUCCCUGGGCUCAACCUGGGAAUGGCAGUGGAUACUGGAAAGCUAGAGUGCGGUAGAGGGUAGUGGAAUUCCCGGUGUAGCGGUGAAAUGCGUAGAGAUCGGGAGGAACACCAGUGGCGAAGGCGGCUACCUGGACCAGCACUGACACUGAGGCACGAAAGCGUGGGGAGCAAACAGG
This 253-nucleotide ribosomal RNA is filed under the name uncultured bacterium. Its description in RNAcentral is "partial 16S ribosomal RNA". It matches the Rfam family "Bacterial small subunit ribosomal RNA", at positions 524 to 776 of the family's 1533-position model. The record is from RNAcentral.